UUGAUCCCGCCGGACCCGACUGCUAUCGGAUUGAGAUUUAGCCAUGCGAGUCGAACGUCCCCCUGUUGCGGGGGGCGUGGCGUACGGCUCAGUAACACGUAGUCAACCUGCCCUGGAGACAAGGACAACCCCGGGAAACUGGGAUUAAUCCUUGAUAGGUCAUCUCAUCUGGAAGGAGAGAUGGCUUAAAGGGGUACGCGGGCUUCUUCCGCGAAUUCGCUCCAGGAUGGGACUGCGUCCGAUCAGGCUGUUGGCGGGGUAAUGGCCCACCAAACCUGUAACCGGUACGGGCCUUGAGAGAGGUGGCCCGGAGAUGGACACUGAGAGAAGGGUCCAGGUCCUACGGGGCGCAGCAGGCGCGAAACCUUCGCAAUGCGCGAAAGCGUGACGAGGUUAAUCCGAGUGACUCCCGCUUAGGGGGUCUUUUGUCAGCUGUAAAUAGGCAGGCGAAUAAGGGGAGGGCAAGCCUGGUGUCAGCCGCCGCGGUAAUACCAGCUCCUCGAGUGGUCGGGGCGAUUAUUGGGCCUAAAGCAUCCGUAGCCGGUUCCGUAGGUCCUCUGUUAAAUCCAACCGCUUAACGGUUGACCUGCAGAGGAUACCGCGGGACUAGGAGGCGGGAGAGGCGGACGGUACUCCGCGUGUAGGGGUAAAAUCCUUUGAUCCGCGGAAGACCACCAGUGGCGAAGGCGGUCCGCCAGAACGCGCUCGACGGUGAGGGAUGAAAGCUGGGGGAGCGAACCGGAUUAGAUACCCGGGUAGUCCCAGCCGUAAACGAUGCUAGCUAGAUGAUUCAUUCGCAAGUCGCGAAUGAAGUGUCGCAGGGAAGCCGUUAAGCUAGCCGCCUGGGGAGUACGGUCGCAAGACUGAAACUUAAAGGAUUGGCGGGGGAGCA
This 892-nucleotide ribosomal RNA is filed under the name uncultured archaeon. RNAcentral describes it as "bacterial SSU rRNA". It matches the Rfam family "Archaeal small subunit ribosomal RNA", at positions 8 to 878 of the family's 1478-position model. The record is from RNAcentral.